RNAcentral lists this ribosomal RNA (314 nucleotides) under uncultured bacterium. RNAcentral describes it as "bacterial SSU rRNA". It matches the Rfam family "Bacterial small subunit ribosomal RNA", at positions 28 to 334 of the family's 1533-position model. The record is from RNAcentral.
GAUGAACGCUAGCGGCAGGCUUAACACAUGCAAGUCGAGGGGCAGCAUAAACAUUGCUUGCAAUGUUUGAUGGCGACCGGCGCACGGGUGCGUAACGCGUAUGUAACCUACCUCAAACAGGGGCAUAACACUGAGAAAUUGGUACUAAUUCCCCAUAACACUUAAGGAGGCAUCUCCUUAGGUUGAAAGUUCCGGCGGUUUGAGAUGGACAUGCGUUGUAUUAGCUAGAUGGUGAGGUAACGGCUCACCAUGGCGACGAUACAUAGGGGGACUGAGAGGUUAACCCCCCACAUUGGUACUGAGACACGGACCAA